UAGGGAAUCUUCCGCAAUGGACGCAAGUCUGACGGAGCAACGCCGCGUGAGUGAGGAAGGAUUUCGGUUCGUAAAACUCUGUUGUUAGAGAAGAACAGCGCAUAGAGUAACUGUUAUGCGUGUGACGGUAUCUAACCAGAAAGCCACGGCUAACUACGUGCCAGCAGCCGCGGUAAUACGUAGGUGGCAAGCGUUGUCCGGAUUUAUUGGGCGUAAAGCGAGCGCAGGCGGUCAAUUAAGUCUGAUGUGAAAGCCCCCGGCUCAACCGGGGAGGGUCAUUGGAAACUGGUUGACUUGAGUGCAGAAGAGGAGAGUGGAAUUCCAUGUGUAGCGGUGAAAUGCGUAGAUAUAUGGAGGAACACCAGUGGCGAAGGCGACUCUCUGGUCUGUAACUGACGCUGAGGUUCGAAAGCGUGGGUAGCAAACAGG
RNAcentral lists this ribosomal RNA (429 nucleotides) under Bacteroidota bacterium. Its description in RNAcentral is "Bacteroidetes bacterium partial 16S ribosomal RNA". It matches the Rfam family "Bacterial small subunit ribosomal RNA", at positions 355 to 776 of the family's 1533-position model. Lineage: Bacteria; Pseudomonadati; Bacteroidota. The record is from RNAcentral.